Molecule: transfer RNA, 74 nt
Filed under: Thermoplasmata archaeon
Lineage: Archaea; Methanobacteriati; Thermoplasmatota; Thermoplasmata
Also listed under: 2 other names
Description: tRNA-Arg
Rfam family: tRNA
About the family: Transfer RNA (tRNA) molecules are approximately 80 nucleotides in length.
Source: RNAcentral
GGGCCCGUGGGCUAGCUCGGAUAUACUUUAGGCCUCCGGAGUCUAAGACGUGGGUUCGAAUCCCACCGGGCCCG